GAUGAAGAACGCAGCGAAAUGCGAUAAGUAAUGUGAAUUGCAGAAUUCAGUGAAUCAUCGAAUCUUUGAACGCAUCUUGCGCUCCUUGGUAUUCCGAGGAGCAUGCCUGUUUGAGUGUCAUUUAACUUCUCAACCACAUUGGAUAUUUUUUUUCCGAUGCCGGCUUGGAUGUGGGGGUUGUUUGCAGGCUUUUUGUGACAAAAAAGGUCGGCUCCCCUGAAAUGUAUUAGUGGUAUCUGAGGCUAUUACUAUUAGGUGUGAUAAUUAUCUAUGCCUUUUGGGUAUGCCGCAUGAACAGAUUAUGCUGCUUCUAACGAAAACUAUUUUGAUGAAUUUGACCUCAAAUCAGGUAGGACUACCCGCUGAACUUAAGCAUAUCAAUAAGCGGAGGA
This 392-nucleotide unclassified non-coding RNA is filed under the name soil metagenome. RNAcentral's name for it is "partial contains 5.8S ribosomal RNA, internal transcribed spacer 2, and large subunit ribosomal RNA". The stretch from base 1 to 120 matches the Rfam family "5.8S ribosomal RNA", at positions 35 to 154 of the family's 154-position model. The record is from RNAcentral.